Molecule: transfer RNA, 75 nt
Filed under: Nanobdellota archaeon
Lineage: Archaea; Nanobdellati; Nanobdellota
Description: tRNA-Arg
Rfam family: tRNA
About the family: Transfer RNA (tRNA) molecules are approximately 80 nucleotides in length. Their secondary structure includes four short double-helical elements and three loops (D, anti-codon, and T loops). Further hydrogen bonds mediate the characteristic L-shaped molecular structure. tRNAs have two regions of fundamental functional importance: the anti-codon, which is responsible for specific mRNA codon recognition, and the 3' end, to which the tRNAs corresponding amino acid is attached (by aminoacyl-tRNA synthetases). tRNAs cope with the degeneracy of the genetic code in two manners: having more than one tRNA (with a specific anti-codon) for a particular amino acid; and 'wobble' base-pairing, i.e. permitting non-standard base-pairing at the 3rd anti-codon position.
Source: RNAcentral
GGCCCUGUAGCUCAGCCUGGAUAGAGCGACUGCCUUCUAAGCAGUAGGUCGCAGGUUCAAGUCCUGUCAGGGCCA